This is a non-coding RNA of Pelobates cultripes (western spadefoot toad), 495 nucleotides long. NCBI's taxonomy places the organism in Eukaryota, Metazoa, Chordata, Amphibia, Anura, Pelobatidae. The record is from the annotation of a GenBank genome assembly.
AUUGUCUUAUGUGCUCUCCUGUCCUGCUGAUGCUCUCUACCAACCACAUGAACUUGGCUGUGGAGCCUGUGCAACGCCAACUGAUGGUUGUUAAAGAUCUUGUAUGCCUGUACAGUGCCAUCGGUUGGUUAUCUUUUACCUUCAGAACACCUUGGAUUGAUCAUUAGAUGACUAAUGACCGACUGUACUGUCUAUUGUGGCCCAGAACGAGCAUUCCAAGCUGCUAAUUGCAAAUCUAUGCAUGACAGGUGUCCGUUGUCCACAUGCAGGUGAUGGACAAUUAAUGGUGACAGCCCCUCCCUUUGUCUGGUCUCCAUGAUAUCCCUACACUUGUAGUGUCAGAGGUGACCAUACUGCUGAAAGAACCUGGCUUUACCAUGGGAUUGUAGGCAAGUUUUUCCUUUUCUUUUGCCAGAAAGGGUUACUUUAACCAAAACCAGUGUUAUUAAAUCACUGUGUUUUUUUUGGUUGAAAUAGCUCUUUAAGUGAACAAGG